RNAcentral lists this ribosomal RNA (388 nucleotides) under uncultured bacterium. Its description in RNAcentral is "bacterial SSU rRNA". It matches the Rfam family "Bacterial small subunit ribosomal RNA", at positions 29 to 419 of the family's 1533-position model. The record is from RNAcentral.
AUUGAACGCUGGCGGCAUGCCUUACACAUGCAAGUCGAACGGCAGCACGGGAGUAAUUCUGGUGGCGAGUGGCGAACGGGUGAGUAAUACAUCGGAACGUGCCCAGUAGUGGGGGAUAGCCCGGCGAAAGCCGGAUUAAUACCGCAUACGACCUACGGGUGAAAGCGGGGGAGUCGCAAGACCUCGCGCUAUCGGAGCGGCCGAUGUCAGAUUAGGUUGUUGGUGGGGUAAGGCCACCAAGCCGACGAUCUGUAGCUGGUCUGAGAGGACGACCAGCCACACUGGGACUGAGACACGGCCCAGACUCCUACGGGAGGCAGCAGUGGGGAAUCUUGCGCAAUGGGCGAAAGCCUGACGCAGCGACGCCGCGUGAGGGAUGACGGCCUGG